AGAGUUUGAUCAUGGCUCAGAACGAACGCUGGCGGCGUGCUUAACACAUGCAAGUCGAGUGCGCGUUCCGUAGCAAUACGGAAUGGCGCACGGCGCACGGGUGCGUAACACGUGGGUAACCUGCCCUUUGGUGGGGAAUAACUCCGCGAAAGCGGAGCUAAUUCCGCAUAAGAUCCGCAAGGAUGAAAGCCGAAAGGCGCCGAUGGAGGGGCCCGCGCCCGAUUAGCUAGUUGGUAGGGUAAUGGCCUACCAAGGCUUUGAUCGGUAGCUGGUCUGAGAGGAUGAUCAGCCACACUGGAACUGAGACACGGUCCAGACUCCUACGGGAGGCAGCAGUGGGGAAUCUUGCACAAUGGGCGAAAGCCUGAUGCAGCGACGCCGCGUGGGGGAUGAAGCAUUUCGGUGUGUAAACCCCUUUCGAUCCGGACGAAACCCCGCAAGGGAUUGACGGUACGGAUCUAAGAAGCCCCGGCUAACUACGUGCCAGCAGCCGCGGUAAGACGUAGGGGGCCAGCGUUGUUCGGAAUUACUGGGUGUAAAGGGUUCGUAGGCGGUGCGGCAAGUUGGGAGUGAAAUCUCUGGGCUUAACCCAGAGGCUGCUUCCAAAACUGCUGUGCUUGAGUGUGGGAGAGGCGCGUGGAAUUGCAGGUGUAGCGGUGAAAUGCGUAGAUAUCUGCAGGAACACCCGUGGCGAAAGCGGCGCGCUGGACCACUACUGACGCUGAGGAACGAAAGCUAGGGGAGCAAACAGGAUUAGAUACCCUAGUAGUCC
RNAcentral lists this ribosomal RNA (772 nucleotides) under uncultured bacterium. Its description in RNAcentral is "bacterial SSU rRNA". It matches the Rfam family "Bacterial small subunit ribosomal RNA", at positions 8 to 796 of the family's 1533-position model. The record is from RNAcentral.